This is a long non-coding RNA of Labrus mixtus (cuckoo wrasse), 472 nucleotides long. RefSeq lists it as uncharacterized. NCBI's taxonomy places the organism in Eukaryota, Metazoa, Chordata, Actinopteri, Labriformes, Labridae. The record is from RefSeq and is a predicted model, not a curated record. The transcript is spliced from 3 exons.
UUUGGCUUUACUUUUGGCGAGCUGUCAUAUCGUCCAUCUGUGUUGUCAAUCCAUUUGGCUUCUUUCUCACUAUACUUCCUCUCAACACGAAGCUUGCAUUGUUUUUCUCUGUCACCUCAGAGAGAUCGAUACCAGUUUGGACGCCUGUUAUCGUAAACAUGAUGCUGCAACUAGGAGAACGUUAGCUUAGCUUAGCAUAAAGACUGGAAACAGUGGGGACAGCUAGCCAGCCAGCUUCUGGAUGACAUGCACCAAACAGGGUCAGGAUCUGGAAUUGAACCGGUGACCAGUGCGUCAAGGGUUGAUGCCUCUGAACGUGGGGCGCCGGCUCUACCAACGGAGGAUUAAUGGCCGGGCUGAUAAGUGAUGUCUGACAACGCCGGUGGCAGGGGACGACUGUCAUCUAAAACACUCCCAUCCAUCUGGGGGUACACUGUUUGAUAACGUGUGUGUGUGUGUGUGUGUGUGUGUG